GUGCCGAUGGUGUAGUGGUUAACAUUCUGCGCUGUGAACGCAGAGAAGGCCGGUUCAAAUCCGGCUCGGCACC
Molecule: transfer RNA, 73 nt
Filed under: Kouleothrix aurantiaca
Lineage: Bacteria; Bacillati; Chloroflexota; Chloroflexia; Chloroflexales; Roseiflexaceae
Rfam family: tRNA
About the family: Transfer RNA (tRNA) molecules are approximately 80 nucleotides in length. Their secondary structure includes four short double-helical elements and three loops (D, anti-codon, and T loops).
Source: Rfam by way of RNAcentral